Molecule: transfer RNA, 95 nt
Filed under: Rugosimonospora africana
Lineage: Bacteria; Bacillati; Actinomycetota; Actinomycetes; Micromonosporales; Micromonosporaceae
Description: tRNA-Asp
Source: RNAcentral
CGGAUCGCGGGCGGGGGAGUGUGACCGCCGGCUGUCAUCAGGCGCACGGGGUCGGCCAGGAUGUCGAUCCCGGCGAUCCUUCCGUCGCGCACCGC